UGGGGAAUAUUGGGCAAUGGACGCAAGUCUGACCCAGCAACGCCGCGUGAAGGAAGAAGGCUUUCGGGUUGUAAACUUCUUUUAACAGGGAAGAGUAGAAGACGGUACCUGUUGAAUAAGCCACGGCUAACUACGUGCCAGCAGCCGCGGUAAUACGUAGGUGGCAAGCGUUGUCCGGAAUGAUUGGGCGUAAAGGGUGCGUAGGCUGUUAUGUAAGUCAGCGGUGAAAUACCUAAGCUCAACUUAGGGGCUGCCGUUGAUACUGCAUAGCUGGAAUAUGGUUGCUGUUGGCGGAAUGUGUAGUGUAGCGGUGAAAUGCAUAGAUAUUACACAGAACACCGAUUGCGAAGGCAGCUGACAAAACCAUAAUUGACGCUGAUGCACGAAAGUGUGGGGAUCAAACA
RNAcentral lists this ribosomal RNA (404 nucleotides) under uncultured bacterium. RNAcentral's name for it is "bacterial SSU rRNA". It matches the Rfam family "Bacterial small subunit ribosomal RNA", at positions 355 to 774 of the family's 1533-position model. The record is from RNAcentral.